AGAAUGAAAAGAAUCUGCUUUACUAAAAAUCCACCAAAGAUUAGAUAGUUUUUGCCCGAAACAGACCACACACUAGACUGGAAGAUUCAACAUCCACAUGAUCCAGCAACAAGAGGAAAGUGGCAUUGAUUCAGUUUCAAUGCACACUCUUACUUUUCCCUUACAAGGUGAUAUGAGAUGUUAAUGAUACUUUUAAGCAAAAAUUGAAUAUAAGUAGGUUUGAGACAGGUCACAGGUUUUGUUGCUUCAAUAAUUUUUGUUUUUACUGAAUCACCAGUAAGUUAACAUGGGAAACUAAUCUUUUACAUUUUCAAAACAUACUCAGAUACUUGUAUACAGGUGCUGAUGUACUAAGGCAAUUUCAAUCUAUAGAAUUACUGGUCCAUAUGUACCAUAUUUACAGUUUUUUGCAUGAUUUGAAUGUGAAUAGCUAUAUCAAUAAUUGUAUUAUUUUCUGCUGACAUAAGAGGAAGAUGUUUAGAUGAUUAAGGAUAUUAACUUAUUAUGGAAGACAUUUUUAUUUUAUUGUACUGAUUAAAAGGGUUAAUAGUUCAAUAAUAUUAUGACAGUAUACAGAUUCCCAAUUUACCUUUAAACUUAAUGUGCAUGACCUCCAGCAUUUUGUCCAGCCUAUUCUAUUAGUUUUACAUGCAUCUUCAUGUCAAGACUUAUUAUUUGGAGAAGGACAAGCAGAACAGUUUUUUCAAUGAAAUUAAUUUUAAAAAAAAAUGAAUAAUGUGUUACUAUUUAGUUUAGUAUUACAAUAUUAUUUAAAAAAAAAAAAUGUCCUUCACAUGGAAUAACUAAUAAUGGUAUAGACAAAAUAAUAUUCUUGACAGUGUUUUGUAGAGCAAGUUUAAUGUAGGGUUUUCUACAUACCCUAGUUAAAUUAUGUAUUUGUUUUCACUUAGUUAACUUAUGGGAUAACUAAAGUCUUUAUUUUAACUUUCUUUUUAUAGGGAUAUAUGUACCAAAAAGAGUUGGUCUAUGUGCUCAAAGAAAAGACAACAAUUGUGAUCAAGCUUUUUUUUUAGUCCUAUUUCUGAUGUUGAGAAGAAAGGUAUACUUUUCUCUUGUAUGACUAACGUAAUGUUCAUUGCUACUUUGACAAACUUUCAAUCAUGCUUAUUGUGAAGUGCAUAAAUUUCUUACUUAAGAGAACAAUUAAUGAUAUGAUCUGUAGCAAAACUUUAAAGGAUAACAUAGUCUUUAUAAUUAUGGGUGAGACUUUUCCAGUUUUAUAGAAUAGUAGAAAAAGUCUGUUUACCAUAUUAUGUAGUUGACAACAUCAUAUCACCAUCUAUAUUAUAUAAUAAUCUUAAAGGGAAGAAUGAUACUUUAUAAAAAAAAAAAAGAUGUGGUUUGGUUAUCAAUGAGACAACUCUCAAUCCACAACCAAAUGUACCGUAGUCAACAAUUUCUAAAAGUAUUGCAAUAUUGACCUCAUAUAAAUGCAAAUCCUCUGAGAAAAACUUAUUUUUAAGGAUUUGGUAUUGUAAGGAAUUUAAUGUGAUUCUUUAAAAUCAGUAUUUGUUUUUAUUGAUAUAUAUGUUCAAAAUGUUUAGGAAGGAGUGCAAUGUGUAUAUUAUAUUAAUGUGAAAUUUAGCGUAUAUUUUGUUGUUGUAAGAAAUCUCAUAUUAUGAGAUUUGUCUUGUAUAAGCCCCAAAACACUUAGGCCAAUGACUUUUUGCACAGUUGUUGUGCCUAUUAUAUUUUUUUGACAUUUGUCUCAUUAUUUUUUUGGUAAACUAAAUCUUAAAAAAUGUAAAGGCUCAAUUAAUUAACCCUGUCUAUCCCACUGUCUGUUUUUCUCUAUAAGAGUACAUUGUUUUUUCCGGCUUUCUCCUCCUACAGCUUUUGAGAUACAGCUUAGUAGGAUAUAUAGUAGGAUGUUUCUUCACAUAAUAAGAGUAUGGAUGUCCACAGGAUUUUAUUUGUUUUCAAGGCUCUAUAAGCACACACAAAAAUCAAAGGAUCAGGGCUUUAUUGCACUUUUUCUUAACUAUUAUCAGUAUUAAAGCCUUAAACACAGAGCCAAAAAAAAAAAUCACUGCAAGUAUAAGAUAGCCCUAAGCAUUGGUUUGAGCAGAAUUUUUAGCCAAAAAAUUCCGAUAGACUUUAUAUAAACAUGUACCACCACCAAAUUGGGCCAGAAAAAAACCAUACUUGAAAGUAGAAAGUAUUUAAAACAGAAUAGGCAUAACUAAGAUGUAAAUAUCAAAAUAUAUAGAAUAUAGUUUGGUAAUUGAGUUUUAUUUGAAAGGUGUAUAUAGUACUGGCGAUUCUUGUAGAACACAUUGAAAUGUAUAAAUGAAUUCUAAAAUUGAAACCACAUAUUGCAUGUUUCUGAAAAGGGUCUGGUUUGGUGUAUCUAAAGUUUGGGUAGCCAGCACAGUCUGAUGUGUAAAUGACCUUCUGCCGUUGUCUGUUGUCUGUUCUAUAUUCCGGUUGUUGUCUCUUUGACACAUUCUCAAUUUUAUCAUCAUUAUCUCCUAAACUAUAUGAGAUAUCUUAUAAACUGUAUAAGAUAUCUUUUUAACUAUAUAAGAUAUCUUGUAUGGCAUGUGAUACGGAUUUCGUCAUGUUUUGUACUCUUUAUCAUAUAUUUAAACAGGAGAGUGAAUAUCAACUGCUUUCUGACCCCUAGCACCUGAGAUUUACUUCUGUUUUGAAAGCGUUAAAGAGAAAUGCUUAAUUAUUUAUUGGAAGCACCUGUGUUACCUUACAGUUUGAGUCAUGUUGUUCAUAGAAUUAUUUUGUUUAUUUUUAUUUUUUGUGUGUUUUGUAUGGUAUUUCAUUGAGAUCUUUUUUAUAGUUGCAUUUCGUGUGCCAGAAUAUGAACGCUUGAUGUCUGUGACAUAACAUGCCAAACAAUGAUGCAAUUCAAUAAAUGGCUUCAUGCCCUAAUGACCGUUUUAUUUUGUCUGAAUCACUACUGUCACAAAGGUGAAAUCCGAGUAGGAGUGUGAUAAAGGGUACUCAUCAAAGUUGAGCAAUACAGAUUAAACAGCAGGCUAUUUAUCAAAUAGAAUGAAAUUCAAAACAGUGUGGCUGUGGCCAUUGAUUGACACAUUAAAUUCAUCCAUUGACUGGAACAAUUUACGUGAACGUUCGUCUGCAACAACCACUGUUCACGACGUACCUACGAUAGACAUUUAAACUGUGGGGUCCCCAAAGGUUUCUUAACGACUUUAAUUAUAAAAUAAUUCGAAAAAUUAAUCAGGAAUAACCUUUAUGUUUUGAUUUAUAUAAUUGAUAUAAAUCGAAACAUCCUGUUAUUUCUGAUUAUUUUUUCGAAUUACUUUAUUAAGGUGUUGAGAACCUUUGGUGAUCCCAUAGUUUAAGUGUCUUUAAAAAGUACAUAGUGAGCAGUGGUCGUUACAUACAAAUGUUCACCUAAAUUGUCCCAGUCAAUGGAUGAAUUUAAUGUGUCAAUCAAUGGCCACAGCCACACUGUUUUGAAUUUCAUUCUAUAUAAAACUACUGUUUUUAAUAUUACAUAUAUGAUACAAAUAUAUAUCUAUAUGUUUAUUGUUUCAGGAUGUAAUGAAGUAACAAUAGUGAAGGUUUUAGCAAGCAGGUACUGAAAGAACUUCAAAAGGUUAAUCCUACAGCUGUCUGGUGAUGUUGAAAGAAAUCCAGGACCUACAAUGGUAUCGAUCACCCCAAAAAAUGCUAUGUUUGAGACUGAAGUAUAUUUAGGAUUAGUUGCUCUGAAAAAACAAGCACUUUAAUUUAACAACUUCAUCAAAAUCCAUUUAAUUAAGGCAUAUUGGAUAAUGUUUCAAUUCAUCUUUAACAUAAUUUUCAUUGAAAUUUUAUGUUUUAUUAACCAAUAGAAAACUGGUUAGUACUCUGUUCAAGUAAGGCAGACUGGACAUGCUGCCAUGAACAGUUUCCAUGGGAUAACUUAUGAAACAUUUAAUCAACUCAGAAAUGACACAAAACUGUCUUCUCACAGUUAUUGUUAUAGACCUGGUUACAUGACAUAUUAUGGUAUACCGUUGUCUGUUCAUCCAUCGUCAACAUGUCAGACAUUAACUCAAAAAGGCUUAAACCAAUUUGCCUAAAACUUUGGUGAAUCGUUUAUAUUUAUUGAGGUGAGAUCCUUUAUUUUUAUAAAUUUUAGAUUUUAAGUUUCUGAGUUAUAGGGUUUUAUUAAUUAAAAAUAGGGAAAUUUUCCAGUUUUCUGACAAUCAUUUAAAAAGACUUUUCACCAACUUGCAAGAAAUUUUGGUGAAUUGUUUAUAUCUUUUGACAUAAACUCCCUUUCAAUUUUUAUAAAUUUUAAAUUUUUUGUGUUUCCCAUUUACAGGGUUUUAAUCAUUAAAAAAAGGGAAUUUUCCAGUUUUCAAACAAUAGCUCAAAAAUACUUUCAGCAGCUCUUAUUGAACUUUGGUGAAUUGUUUAUAUCUAUUGAUGUAAGGUCCUUUUAGAAUUAUAUAAAUUUUAGAUUUUAUAGUUCAGAGUUAUGGGGUUUUAUUCAUUACAAAAGGGGGAAUUUUCCAGUUAUUGGACAAUAACUCAAAAAUACUUUCAGCAAUUCCAUAGGCGGAUCCAGGGGGGCCCUGGGGGACCCGGGUCCCCCCUUUCGUGGUAAAAAUUUGGUUGAUUAUAUAGGGAAUCACUGAUGCAUGACUGGAGUGGGCCCCCCUUAGGAAAAGUUCUGGAUCCGCCACUGAAUUCUCAUGAAACUUUGGUGAAAUUUCGCUACUUGUAGCAUUUUAUUCUUCUGAAUCCAAAAUUUUAAAAAAUACUGAAAUAAUUCUGAAAUAAUUGUUUCUCUGUACUGUAUGCUAAUUCUAUUGAAGAUAAUUGUUUAAAGUGACUCCUGACAUGAUAUAAUCUUGUACUUAUUAUAAACCCCACAAAGUUUUUGGAGUGAAUAUAUGAAUCACUCUGUCUGUCUGUCUGUUUCAUAUGUCUUGUAAACUUAACUCCUCCGUAAUGUAUGUACCAAUAAGAUGAAACUUUACAGAGUCUAAAUUAUUUCAAGGGAGAUAAUUGAAUUUACUUAGUUUAACAUUGCAAUAAGUGGCAACAGGUCUCGUAAGUGCAACUCAAAUACUCACCUAGUUCCAUUAUUUGCAUUGAUUGAUUUUGAAACUUAACACUGUUGCAGUACACAACCUAAGACUUGAGUAUGUAGGAAAUAGUCCAGAUCCAAUACUUUUCAAGGGAGAUAAUUGAACCUAAUUAGUUUAAUAUUGCAAUAAGUGGCAACAGGACCUGUAAGUGCAACUAUGUUUAAUUACCUUGAUGGAUAUUGAUGUAAAUUUACACAGUAGACUGACACCACCAGAGAAUGUAUAUGAAGGAAAUAAUCCUGGUCUGAAAUAUUUUAAGGGGGAAAUGGAUCUUAAUUGUUUAAUGUUGCAAUAUGUUGCAACAGUGUUUAGUAAGAUAAGUGGAUGUUCUCCUUAUCUGCUUUAUCAAUAUUUUUGAAAUUUUAUAUCAAGUGCAGUACACCGCCUGGGAAUGUGCAUGAAGGAAAAUCAUAUUUGUCUGAAAUAUUUCAGAAGAUGAAUUGGAAUGGGGUGGGGUAUCCUUUAGUGGGUUGACUCCUAGUUUUAUGCAAUACACUCAGAAUGGCAAAUACUAUCCAUGCUGUUCUGUGUUCACUCUUGUUUCAAACUAGGAUCACAAAAGUCCUUGUUAUAUUCUUUACAUAUAUUACGAAGUUAGAUCUCCACAAAAGUACAGGUGAAUCAGGAGUCUUAACAUAUCUAUGUUUUAGUAACUAGAAUACAAGUUUUUAUUGUUGCGAUACUCACCCAGUUGCAUUACAUUUAAAUUUAAUCAGAGAAUUACUUUUUAUAAGAACAUUUGAAACAUCAAAUAAACAUAGGGGGCCUCUGCCUUCUGUUCUUUAAAAAUAAAUACAAAACUCAAAGUGUCCUAUCAAAUCAAUGUAAUUAUCUGCCCUUGAUUUUAAAAGAAUAUAUUUUUUUUAAUUUAAAUACACUUUAUCACACUUAAUUUUUUGAUAGCUUGAUCCAACUUCCAAGCUUAAGAUGUUCCAGUCAUAUAAUAUUGCAUUAUACUUUGUAAAAUUUUAAAUCAAAAAAGAGAUUUUUUGCAACAUGCCUAAAACCAGAACUAAGACAUCAUUCCAACUUGACUUAAUAUAUCUUUGGAAAAGUCAGUUAUCUGGAAUGUGAUCUGAACAGUUCAACUUUUUUUUUCAUUUUAUAAUGUAUGUUUAUUUCAAUAAUUGAACCAGUUUUUGUGAAUUUUACAUGAAAAAAAUUGUAUUUUAGGUUUAUCAAGACUUCUUAGUGCUUGCCAUACAAGUGUCAAAGAGUGAAGGGCAAGAAUGGCUUUAAAGAACAGAGAAGACUUGUUUUAUUGCACUUAGUUUUGAGCUUAUGUUUGAUAUUUUACCACUACGAUAGAGUUAUGUAAAUUUAUGUAAUGUAUUGUUCUAAUAUACCGAUCUGUUUUGUAAUUGCUCCUUUUUAGAUA
Molecule: long non-coding RNA, 6465 nt
Filed under: Mytilus galloprovincialis (Mediterranean mussel)
Lineage: Eukaryota; Metazoa; Mollusca; Bivalvia; Mytilida; Mytilidae
Source: RNAcentral